This 372-nucleotide ribosomal RNA is filed under the name uncultured eukaryote. Its description in RNAcentral is "partial 18S ribosomal RNA". It matches the Rfam family "Eukaryotic small subunit ribosomal RNA", at positions 592 to 975 of the family's 1831-position model. The record is from RNAcentral.
CAAUAGCGUAUAUUAAAGUUGUUGCAGUUAAAAAGCUCGUAGUUGGAUUUCUGAGAGGAUGCCAAUGUCCUUCUGUGUAAGUGUGCAGCGGCGUCUUUUCAUCCUUCUGUUAACACCUCUUGGCAUUCGUUUGCUGGUGGUGGGCUCAGAUAUUUUACCUUGAGAAAAUUAGAGUGUUUCAGGCAGGCUAGGCCGGAAUACAUUAGCAUGGAAUAAUGGAAUAGGACUACGGUCUCUUUGUUGGUUUGAGGGACUGCAGUAAUGAUUAAUAGGGAUAGUUGGGGGCAUUAGUAUUUAAUUGUCAGAGGUGGAAUUCUCGGAUUUGUUAAAGACUAACUUAUGCGAAAGCAUUUGCCAAGGAUGUUUUCAUUA